CCUACGGGAGACUGCAGUGAGGAAUAUUGGUCAAUGGACGCAAGUCUGAACCAGCCAUGUCGCGUGCAGGAAGACGGCCCUAUGAGUUGUAAACUUCUUUUGUACGAGGGUAAACGCAGCCACGCGUAUCUUUCUGAGAGUAUCCGACGAAAAAGGAUCGGCUAACUCCGUGCCAGCAGCCGCGGUAAUACGGAGGAUUCAAGCGUUAUCCGGAUUUAUUGGGUUUAAAGGGUGCGUAGGCGGACGGAUAAGUUAGCGGUAAAAUCCGAGGGUCAAAUUCGUAAUUGCCUUUGAUACUGUUCGUCUAGAGAGUAGUUGCGGUAGGCGGAAUGUGUGGUGUAGCGGUGAAAUGCUUAGAGAUCAUACAGAACACCGAUUGCGAAGGCAGCUUACCAAGCUACUUCUGACGUUGAGGCACGAAAGCGUGGGGAGCAAACAGGAUUAGAUACCCCUGUAGUC
RNAcentral lists this ribosomal RNA (459 nucleotides) under uncultured bacterium. RNAcentral describes it as "partial 16S ribosomal RNA". It matches the Rfam family "Bacterial small subunit ribosomal RNA", at positions 338 to 795 of the family's 1533-position model. The record is from RNAcentral.